GGCUCGUUAGCUUAGUGGUAAGAGCGUCACACUGAUAUCAACCGUGAAGGUCGUUGGGUUCGAUUCCCACACGGGCCA
This is a non-coding RNA of Onthophagus taurus, 78 nucleotides long. The record is from the annotation of a RefSeq genome assembly. NCBI's taxonomy places the organism in Eukaryota, Metazoa, Arthropoda, Insecta, Coleoptera, Scarabaeidae.